This 1551-nucleotide unclassified non-coding RNA is filed under the name uncultured fungus. RNAcentral's name for it is "sequence contains 18S rRNA gene, ITS1, 5.8S rRNA gene, ITS2, 28S rRNA gene". The stretch from base 491 to 1551 matches the Rfam family "Eukaryotic large subunit ribosomal RNA", at positions 1 to 961 of the family's 3401-position model. Lineage: Eukaryota; Fungi. The record is from RNAcentral.
GGAAGGAUCAUCAACAAAUCUAAUACUGCCUUUGGGCAAUAUACCAAUGUGAAUUGACUAGCUUGCUAGUUUGAUGAAUGCUUGAAAAAGCAUCAUAUUAACGAGUAUUAAAGAGUCUGUUUAAAAAAAUAUAAUCUUAUACAACUUUUAACAAUGGAUCUCUUGGCUCUUGCAACGAUGAAGAACGCAGUGAAUUGCGAUAAGUAAUGUGAAUUGCAUCACCUGUGAAUCAUCAAAUCUUUGAACGCAUUUUGCGCUUUUCGGGUCUACUGAAAAGCAUACCUGUUUGAGUAUCAGAAAGCACUCCUCACAAACUGCAAGGUUUGAAAGGGAAUUGAGGUCUAGCCGAGAGGUUAUUCCUUGAAAGAGAUUAAUGAAGUCGGGUAUUGUCCUUGACGUAUAAAGUGCGGUAAGAAAAUAGUUAUUUUCUCCCACUGACACUACGGCGAGACGUGCCUGGCAGUACUCAUUACUAUUAUUUUUGAACUCUUGAUCUCAAAUCAGGUAGGAUCACCCGCUGAACUUAAGCAUAUCAGUAAGCGGAGGAAAAGAAACUAACAAGGAUUCCCUCAGUAACGGCGAGUGAAGUGGGAAGAGCUCAAGUUUUAAAUCUGGGAGGUCACCUCUCCGAAUUGUAAACUAUAGAAGCGUUUUCUGCGGUAACAGUGGUAAAAGUUCCCUGGAAAGGGACAUCAGAGAGGGUGAGAAUCCCGUAUUUGACCAUUGUUUUCAACUGCUCUAUGAUACGUUCUCUACGAGUCGAGUUGUUUGGGAAUGCAGCUCAAAAUGGGUGGUAAAUUUCAUCUAAAGCUAAAUAAUGGCAAGAGACCGAUAGCGAACAAGUACCGUGAGGGAAAGAUGAAAAGAACUUUGAAAAGAGAGUUAAAUAGUACGUGAAAUUGUUAAAAGGGAAACGAUUAAAACCAGUAUUUUUGGCAGGAACUCAGUCCAGCUUGUUUUUUUCUAAAGGCAAGUUGGGUGUACUUUUCUGUUAAAAAGUCAACAUCAGUUUAUGUGCUGGAUAAGGCUUUGAGGAAGGUGACCUUAGCGAUAAGGUUUUAUAGACUCUUUGCUAAACAGUGUGUCGAGACUGAGGACUGCAGCGUAGCGCAAGCAUUUCCUGCGAGAAUCUAUUUCUGUUGGCCACCUUUAGACAAUAAAUUGGCUAGAGGAGGGUUGGUGGCGAUAUGUUUUUCAAAGUUACAUACGCUUAGGAUGUUGACGAAAUGGUUUUAAACGACCCGUCUUGAAACACGGACCAAGGAGUCUAACAUAUAUGCGAGUAUUAGAGUGGCAAACUCUGAUGCGCAAUGAAAGUGAAUGGAUGGGAGUCGCAAGAUGCACCAUCAACCGACCUUGAAGUUUUUUAAUGGAUAGGUUUGAGUAAGAGCAUAUCUGUUGGGACCCGAAAGAUGGUGAACUAUGCCUGAAUAGGGUGAAGCCAGAGGAAACUCUGGUGGAGGCUCGUAGCGGUUCUGACGUGCAAAUCGAUCGUCAAAUUUGGGUAUAGGGGCGAAAGACUAAUCGAACCAUCUAGUAGCUGGUUCCCUC